CUGCCAUCCAGGAAUGACUUUCAGUCAUGCUGCCAUCUCUUUCUUUGUAAAGCACCAACACUGAAAGAAGUACUAAAGAAAUAAGGCUCCUUUCAAAGAAGAGUUUUAUGCAAAUGUUUUCUCCAUCCAGCAGAAAAAGGGAUUUAUAGAACAAAGUUUGGGGCUCGCGUCUACCUGCUGGAUUUCCAUCUCCACAUGAGGCCUUCUGCCACUCCAGGGUCUGUUGCUGUCUGGGGAGAGCUCAGGGCUGGCCGCUAGCCCUCUCUAGCAGCUGUACGAGCUCCUGCGCAAAGGAAAGUGUUUUGUGGUGGCCACCAAUCAGAGGCAGAAACGAGGCCACAGAGCCUAGAGAAAAGACCCAAGGUGAAGAAGCACAGUCUGUGGUUGAGCAACCAGAGCUGCGGCAGGCUCUGGGAGGUCCCUUCUCCAGCGGUGAGAGCUAUGGUAUGGAGAGCCACACUCUGCAAAACAGGAAGAUGGCCAAAUGCAGAGCCUCACGGACCUUCCCUGAUUUUGAUCCUUGCAACUAAAUGAAAAUCACAGCGCCAAAGAGAACCGAAGGUAUGCUGAAGCAAAAGUGAACACAACUGAAAUGCAAGGAAGGUGCCACAAGUUGGAGUCAGCCUCCAGCGCUACACAGAGGUGGUCAUUGCAGACAAGCUUGUGAUUACUUAAACUUUGGUGAGGGCUAUCUCACUGUGCCAUGUCAGAGAUGAUUGAGCAUAUUAGCAGAGGACUUGCCUAAACAUAGAUGGCGCAACAGUUUAACUAAUCAUUAAACGGUUAAUUUUAAAGCUGUAGCUCUUAAGCAGCGUAGCUGCUUUCUGUAAGCAGUCCGUAGGUAUCUGCAUAGACAAAACUCCACUGAUUUUAGAACAGUGACAAGCAGCUGGCAAGUGUCACCUCCAAAUCCACAGCAGCUCAAACCAGAACAGCAUGUCUGUCUGUGCCAUAAAACAGGAGACUCUCCCUGACCAAAAGCCUGUUUGUCUCACCUGUGCCUGCAGAUUCAGUAGUGAAAAAAAAAAAAAAAAACAGUGACAGAUUCUCAGAGUCCUCAAAACUUUUCAUUCCUUACAGUUAUUAAGGGAUUUGACCUUCAUAAUCACGCUGUAAUAGAGAAAGCAUGCAUUCUUAUUUUACAAACUGUCAACAGAUCUACCUUAAGUAACUAGAUUAAGAUCAUGCAGAAAGUUGUGGAUGAACUGGUAAUUUUAGUGCAGGCCAAUGGAGUGCAGGCCUGGCUCUCCGUUCAGUGACCAGCUGCCUGCCUGAAGGAAUAAAGGGCAAAUUUGCAUCUUCUAAGUGCCUACG
Molecule: long non-coding RNA, 1314 nt
Filed under: Struthio camelus australis
Lineage: Eukaryota; Metazoa; Chordata; Aves; Struthioniformes; Struthionidae
Description: lncRNA (ENSSCUG00000011924.1)
Source: RNAcentral